Long non-coding RNA from Mustela erminea (ermine), 1827 nucleotides. RefSeq lists it as uncharacterized. The record is from RefSeq and is a predicted model, not a curated record. The transcript is spliced from 3 exons. NCBI's taxonomy places the organism in Eukaryota, Metazoa, Chordata, Mammalia, Carnivora, Mustelidae.
UCUGGCUUAUCUAUCAUAUCUUCCAACCAGUUUCCCAGUGGGAUGAGGGUGGCGAGAGUCCCGGCGUCAGAGGCCAAGGUCUCAGUCCUGUUAUCUUGGGCAAAUCGUACACUUUUCAUACAGUCAUGAAAAUUUCUGCUCAUUCUCUGAGCACUUCAUAUCCUGUAAAAUUGUGCUUCAGGUUUUUCAGCCCAGAGUAGAUACUUUCCUUUUUCUUUUACAUUCUUCGGUACUCUAAAAAAAAAUUUAAUUUCAUCCAUUUUUAUAAAGUUGAAUAAGACAAUAAGAGUUUUCAAUCUGCUCAGUUAGAAUGGCAAUUACUGUCUCUUUCAAUUUUAUAAAAUAAAUUGAUGUGAAAAUGAUCAUUACAUUUUUUCUUCUCUAGUCAGAAGAAUCUAAAUGACUUGGUUCCUCUUUACUAGUCUUGAUCCAGAAACAAAGUAGCUAAUAAAUAAUAUAUGCAAAUAUUUUGGUAUAAUUAACAACUAUGAUUGGCCCCAAUGUUAGGGUAAAAGUCACAUAAAGCAAAGUUUGAACUAAGAAUAGAUUUUAGAACAAUAAUAAUAUAACCAUGAUAAUAGAAUUACAUUGAAUUAAAAACAGUCACUUCCCCUUAGUGUGGUGUCACCUAUUUGCAAAUAUAGGUUGUAUCUUGCUUUUGUUAACUGGGUCAAAAACAUGUUUUUGUAUUGCUGGGUGUGUGGCCAUCCUAGUUGGCUGGGUCCUUGCCCUUUGGGAGGACUGGAUGACCCAGUCGGGACCUAGUCUUGGCGGCUAGGAUUGGCCAAUGUAGGAGGUGGGUCAAGGGUUCAGACCGGGCAGGAAUCCUGUUUAGUGUGCCAAAGUGGGGCAGUGAGGCAAAUGCAAGCCAGAGUACACAGAGGGAGUCAGAGAGCACUAAGCCAAAAGGUGAGAGCAACGCGGUAAUUGGAAGAUGGAACGUGUAGUGAGGCACUACAGUGAAGAGAGCCUGAAGUGUGAGCCAACUCCCCAGUCAGGAGCAGCCCAGACAAGCGUCCCAAGUCCAGGGGGAGAUUGUCAUUUACUGGACUGUGUUUUGGUGGGAGCAUGCCUCAUUGGUGAGAUCCGGUGCCAAGACUUAACUGACUGAGAUACCCCAUCUGUAGAAGCGGCAUUUGCCCGACUGGGGCACGGAGGAUCUUUACUAUAAAGCCACCCUGGCUGAUACUUACACCAUUUUUUUCUCAAUGCCCAGGUUGCAGACCACCUUAGAGGCCUCCUGUGUAGCAAUUACUCUGGGCUACCAGCCACUCAGCAUUUCCUACUUCGUUUCUUCUGCCUCUGGUCUCUCCCCCAGAGAGGGUUUGAUAUUCAGGUGUUUUUCUUUCCUGUCCCAGUCCCCUUAAGUUUCUGGGUCGUUGGGGUGGGCUACCUCGUUUUGUGGUUCACUGCGUGAUGUAGAAGCUCGGGCUCCAGCCCCAGCCUUGGCCUCAAGCUGUGUGCGUGUCAGCUGCCUGUGGUCAAUGAACCCGAGCAGAAUGUCCCCAUGCGUGGUGAAGGCCCCAGCAUCCACUGGAUGUUAGCUGUGCCCAUUUGAUAGGAAGCAAGAUCAAGUUCUUGACAGAAAUAUGUGUACUAGUACUUGGUACCACUUUACAGGAUCGUCAGAGUCCUACUCCAAUAUUUGGAUCCCAAAUGACAGAUUUAAUGGCCUUCGUUAACACUCCGAUGAUGUAGGCUUAAUUUUACGGUUCACCUGUUCUUGCUGUUUACUUUCCUGAGCUUCAGCCAAGCCGAAGAAACUGUGUGAAAACAGAAUCUCGUUGCCCAUGAAAGAAAACGCCACCUUCCUUAGUAGAAAGGAAA